GUGCUUGCUUCAGCAGCACAUAUACUAAAAUUGGAAUGAUACAGAGAAAAUUAGAAUGGCCCCUGCAUAAGGAUGACAUACAAAUUCAUGACGUGUUCCAUAUUUUU
Molecule: small nuclear RNA, 107 nt
Organism: Neomonachus schauinslandi (Hawaiian monk seal)
Lineage: Eukaryota; Metazoa; Chordata; Mammalia; Carnivora; Phocidae
Source: RefSeq, a predicted model, not a curated record